Molecule: small RNA, 46 nt
Filed under: Roseimaritima multifibrata
Lineage: Bacteria; Pseudomonadati; Planctomycetota; Planctomycetia; Pirellulales; Pirellulaceae
Description: Acido-Lenti-1 RNA
Rfam family: Acido-Lenti-1 RNA
Source: Rfam by way of RNAcentral
CCUGGGACUUGCGUCCCAGGCUAUCGCAUGUCGUCGCUUCGCGAUU